Molecule: long non-coding RNA, 10976 nt
Organism: Scophthalmus maximus (turbot)
Lineage: Eukaryota; Metazoa; Chordata; Actinopteri; Pleuronectiformes; Scophthalmidae
Exons: 10
Source: RefSeq, a predicted model, not a curated record
UCAUUCAAUGUUGGAUUUAUCAUCACGGACAUGUUGUGCAAAGUCUCCGAAAAGACAUUGAAGUUCCAGGCCGCACUACAAAUCUUCUGAAAGGGCCACGGUCGCACGGAAGCCCUGCCUGGAAUGGCGCAAGUGUUAGCUCCCAGUCAAUACAAACCGGUUACUGCUGACAUCUUUGGCCACUAGCCACAGUUUGCAGGACCGUCCGUCCACAAUGUUGUGGAAAUGACGACCAUCCUCCACAGAACUAAUCAUUUCCUCCACCUCUAUUGCUCACCUUGCAAGCCAGGAGGCACUCCGUCAUGCUGCUGGUGCCUCAUCAGGAUUUUGUCUGGGAAAGUGUAGCUGCCCAGCUUCCUGCUCCUGAGGGACGUUGCCUUUAUGGCUGUGAACAUAAAUUUCCUGUGUGACAAUGGACACUGCAGUCGUGCUGACUGUGAAAGAGUAGCUUGGAGUUAUCAGAGGAACUCAAUCAACAAAAGAAACUUUCCUCACUUUAAAGUGCACUCCUCACACUUUCAUAAGAGCCACAAGCAGUUGAUUAUUGUCGUUGGACUUCAUCCUUUUUUUCCUCCGAAGACUGACAUGGUGAGCAGCCUCUCGCCCUGAAGGACCCCGUCCCACGUCUGAACCGUGUCACUGGAACGUACUGGAAUGGUUCCCUCGCCGGACUCGAUUUUAGUGCGGAGCUGGCCGCGGGCCCUUCUGUUCGGAUGUCUGUCCCCCUGAUCUGACACAGAGAAUGGACACAGUAAUACUGUACCGCCUACAAAGGGACUCAUGUUUGGGGAGGAGCAGUAAACGAUCAAUGUGUUUGUGGGGAGAUGAAAAGCUUCAUGAGGAGAAAAGAUGCGGGCAUCUCCACAGGGCGAGGUGCUGAUGUACAGGUGGAACUGGACAUCCUCCUUCAGUCUGAAGCCUCGUCUGGUGUCGCACCUGGUGAAGACGGACUUCUGGUGCUCCUCUUCGUUGUGACUGAAGACGCACACGGUGACGAAUGACUGCCUCAGCUGAUGUCGAGGUGGCGUCGCUCCGACUCGACCUGCAGAAACACAACGUGAGUCAGAGACACUUUCAUCAAAAAAUACAUAUGAAGCUAGAGUCAUUGGAGUCACGAAGAGAUGAAAGGACAGCAAUGAAUCCAAGAAGCCUCUUAGAUGAAAGGACAGCAAUGAAUCCAAGAAGCCUCUUGGAUGAAGGUAAAAUGUCUUAAUGGAUCUAUAACCGAGUCCAGCCACUCCUGAUUCAACACGCUGGUGGAUAACUGUGACCGGAUGAAUGAGGAUCUUGUUGAACACUUCGGGGGGAACACCCUCAGUGUGGUGCGGGAGUAUGAAAGGACAGCCAAGGUUGAAUCGCAGACUACAGGAACCACAGUCUGCCUUUCAACCUGAGAUGACUAUAAACUUUGCAUAUCACAUAAAAAUGAUGCCUUUUUAAUGAUGUGUAGAGGUUUGAACCUGACGGCCGACCGGGACCGGGAGUUUGCAUGUUCUCCUUGUGCCACUGUGGGUUUUCUCUCCCGCGCUGCAAACGCAUUCAGGUUAGGUUGUUUAGAGACUCUAAACUCACUGCCCAUAGGUGUGAAUAUGAGCCUGAAUGGUUGUUUGUAUCUACAUGUCGUCCCUGUGAUAGACUGGAGACUGGAACGUCAGCUGGGAUUAGAUCUGACCUGCCGGUAUGGCUGAGGAAUGAAUUAAUGUAUCUGUGAUGUCAGAGAAGAACUUAUCCUGCCUUCACGUGGUAUUGGAUUUAUUGUAAAUACGAGUUGCCGACUUGGAAAUAGCACAUGAACACCCCCUCAAGUCGUUAUCAUGAGUGGAAAACUCUGAGAUAAUUUUGGCACUGAGUUCUGGGGUGACCAGAACCUUGGCAUGGCAGAGAAGAGACAGAUUCAGUAAUACAAGUGCAGUGUAACAGGUGUAACAACUAUUAGCUGUUGCUUGUGAACAUAAUUUUAACCUGUAAUCAAUGUUCACUUAACUUGAUAUAGACCAAUAAUAUUUAUAACAAAUGGACUAUAGUCUGCCAGCGCGGUGCAAAGUUAUUACAUCAGCUGACGUUACCUUGUCCACAGUUGCGUUCCUUCUUUGACAAAUUUUUUAUUUAGUUUCAUUCAUAUUUUCCGACAACAAAGCACUAUAAUUUUAAAAAUUCCGACUUCACCAGUGGGAAGUAGGAUCUUCCGACUCGCACGUGAAGGCAGCAAUACCAAUACCAAAUGAGCAGUACCAAUGCCCCACAUGAGGUUCUGGAAGUCCAUAUUAUGAUAAGGGACGUGUUACAGGUAGUUCCCAGACUACUCCAUUUUAUUUGACCUACGUGUUUGAGGAGGAAACCCAUGCUGACAAGAAAAUAAUCCCUUAUUUAGUGGGACAGUGAUACAUAAAAUGUAGUUUAUUAUAUCUUUUUACUUACACACACACACACACACUUAAUGGAAAUAUUAAGUUUUCACUGUAACAUUUUAUCAUUGUGCAUAUCCAGGAGGCAAAGCCACAAGACAUUCUCCAUCUCCAUUAUCUAAACCGCUGCAUCCCGUAUUCAAAUGGUUUUCUUGUAUAGGCAUGGGUGAUGAUGAUAUAAUUGCACAUCAGCCACCACAGUGGACUGUGAUGUGGCAUCCAUAGACUGUAUAUAAAAAUGGACGUAGUAAACUGGGCCAGAAAGUGAAGCCACUUAAUAUUGGAGUGCCGGGAAGAAACAAAUCCAUACAUUGGGAGAAAUCUAAGCGGUAUGAGCACAGCGUCUUCAGCUGCAACCCUCAACAAACCCCAUCUACAAGAACAGAGAAUCUGGACACAAGCAGUCAGAGUUAACUAUCGACGUGGCUCGCUUGCUACAGCGUGAUUGACAGAUGGCCUGCACGGUUAUAAUAAUAAUAAUACAUUUUAUUUGUAAAGUACUUUUCAUUGUUAAAAGCAAUCCCAAAGUGCUACAGAGUAAAACAAGAUUAAAAACAGGUUUAUAAAACAGGAGCAUAAAAUAAUAAUAAUAUAAAUUUUUGUUGAGAUUGAGUUGACAUGGGUUUUAUCUUUACUUUGCACAUUAGAAACGUAGUUUAUACAGCUCUUUCAUUUAGCUGUGAUGGACCAGCUCAAAGCUCAAGUACACAAAAUAAAUUCCUCACUGCUUCCCAAGGACACUCUCCAGACUCCGUCUCUCUCUAACAUUUUCACCGGGACCCUGUGAAAUCGUUAUGACGGCUUUAAUUUGCCGCGUGGCCCCCGGCUCUAGCUGCAGCCGCUGGGCCAAUGCCGUAUCAAUUGCACACGCUAAUGCAACUCACUUAACCAAUAGCAACCCCCCCACCCGAGACAUUUUUGCUGCUGACAGCAGCUGUUUGAAUCACCGUUAAAACCACUGUUCAAACCACUUCUCCUUGGCCGUAGGGGGCCGAGGAGAAGUGGCAGCCUUCCUCGUGGUGAAGCAAUUAGGUGGAUUAUCUCCUUCCAUACUGCAGAGGAGACGCGGAGCGACAGAGAGAAGGCUUUUACAGUGCUUUUGUCAAUUAGGCUUUUGGGGUGAGUGACCACAGAAGUCGCAAAUGAAAUAAAGCUCAUGUGUUCGGCUCAAGGUCAUCACGCGUGUGAUAAACCUAUAAGUGAACAGUGAACGUAAUCGGACUGAUGCAUUAGAGAAAAAAAGACGGUGGUUUGAUAAACCCCACAGCAUCACGGAGGUGGGUCUUUUGGAGCAUGUCCUCCAGAAACAAAGGUUCUGUUUCGCCUACAGUCACGGAAUCCAUGCACCAAGUAGUGACGAUUGCGAAUUAAUAAAGACUGUUGGGUGGAUUGUUUAGGCACAAAUUAUUUUUGUGAGUAAUUUGUUCCAUCUGCUCCAUUUCGUUGCGUGUUUUAAGAACCUGCUCAGGUUCGAUAAAGAGACAGUGGCAGAGAGGGGAUGGGUGAGGACCCCCGUCAUGAUUCUGCCUGUGAACUGUUGAGGACAUUAGGAAACUCUCUGUAAGACUUUGGGUUUUCUCUGGACUUGUUGUUGUAUUUAGAACUUUUGUGAAAGUUUUUGGUUAGCACUGGACUUCUGAUUUCAUGUUCUAUAUCAUUCUGUGCUCCCAGUUCGUCUGGUUAGUUGUUUCCUGUUCUGUCUGCUCUUUGUCGCAACUCCCAUGAUUUCUCCUGCUCAGUUUUGUGUCCAUGCGAUGGAUUUUCCAGUUUUUGCUCCUUGUGUUUCCCAAUGCGGAUACCUAAGUUGGAAUUUGCUUUUGUUUCACUUGUUGGAUUGUAAUUUUGUUUUUUGAUUCCCCUUUAAUUAAUAUACUUAAUAUACUACAACCUGGGUUGUAUUCCAGAGAGCAGAUUUAACAAAUCUGAACCUCACCCUGAACUCUGAGUUAAUCUUCUCUGAGAUGGGAAAAUUCUGAGUUUUCUGUUCCAGAACAGCUGUUCUGAGUUCAUUCAAUCAACUCUCAAUAUGUUCACUCUGAAGUACGCAUGUGGCGGCCCACAAAAAAAAGCCAUCAUCAACGGAGCUCCGAUACUACGAGUCACAAUGGCGACCGAGGAGAAAACAAGGUCCUCCUACGUCACACUGUUAGAUUUAGAGAUACAACGUUGUGCUUAUUGAGAAAAUGAGAUCAUUCAGAAAAAACAGAGCAAUUCACAACAUGCCUUCACAAUCCAAAUUAAAUCCAAACGAUUAAGCUUCAAGUUGCAUUAGAUAUAUGAUUGGUCUCUUGUGUCAUUAAUACUGCUGUGAUUACCUAUUAUAGGAAUUUAAUUAGUUACUUUUUUUUUAAGUAUAAGUUACAGUAUUGAUUUUGGUCCCUCUGACUGAUAUAUUAUUAUAUUGUAUAUGGCUUUUGAAACUGGAAACUGAAUUCCAGGUUCACCCAAGCGCUAGCUGACCCUUCUCCAUCCCAGUCUCUCUGCGUCAGUGGCCUCGCCAGGCACAACAGACGGCUAUCUCUGUUCUCUUCAGUCGAGGCAAGGCUGAGCCUCUGCUAUCUCCCAGAGAGAGGGGGGAGAGAUGGGGGGAAAGGAUGGGACGGGACUGAUGUUGAAUUUCACAGCCCACAGCCUCAGGAUUAUUACAAGACCAGGAGCUGACAGGCAGGUGGAGGUGGAGGGUUGAUGCUGUCACCUGAUGCCUAACAAGUAGGGUAUGUCUCACUGUCCACACUCUAACAGUCUGAAUGUUAAAUGAACUCAGCAUUUAGUGAAUUCCAUGUGACAAUCACGUUUCUGUUGUUUUUACAAUCCUUAAAGGCAACGUCACGUGGUCACAUAGAUGCAGUUUGGAGUGGUGUGUCAUUGCUGAUUUAUGGGCCAAAGAUGCUGAUGCAUUUUGAUCCCGGAUUGAGCCAAAGAUUCCUGAAGGAUAUGUCAUGAAUCUAUCAUGAAUCUAAAGACGAAUUUAAACCUUGUGACUGAAACUUUCCUCUGAACCGUGUUCUGGUGCAGCACGCUCUUGUGGCUUGGCAGCUGCUUGAGGUGGAUGUCACUGUUCAUCAAACACCAAAUAGCACUGAUUCAUCUGUUCAGAUUUAAAAACGACAUUUACAAAACUAAAGACAGAAUGAGAGAAGAAAACGUGAAACUGAAUUUGCCGCUAAUGUAAUGCUGUGGUUCGUCAGUUAAGAGUGUGGAACUACACCGCAGACUGGAGAGACAGCAGUAUUUAUUUACCAGUAUGAAAGCUGUUUUAUAACAGGACAUGAAUGUGUCUGCUGUAUAAACACAAGGCACCUAACGGAUUUACGGGUUUCUUUGCAGUGUGACUGCAAUCCUGUGUCCCGCCCCAUCAUUUUGCUGGCAUAAUCCAAUGAUUGGCCUUAACAAGUAGAUCAGUCCGGCCCAAGACUGUCCACAAUGGCAACCACACAAUUUGGCCUGUAUGGCUGACAAGCCAGACGACGUUCCACAGUGUUACCCUGUUGGUAACAAAUCAAAAGAUAAAUCCAGAGCCCCAGCAGCUCGUCAUUUCCUCUAAAUGCCAGUCCUAUUUCUUCUAAAAUCUCAAUCAGCGCAGAGCAUCCCUCCAAUAUUGCCUCACAUCCAAAGUUUCCAGCAUUAGUGCCUAGUCAGUUGCCCCCUUGGACAUAUGUUUUGGACUCCUCGUGUUCUGAAACGCCAUGUGGAUGUUUCCAGUCGCAAAAGUUGCCCACAAAGGCAUUCUUCUUCAUCCCAAAAAGUUUGCAGACAAAGCAGAAAUCAUUUACAGAUGAUGGCAAAUAUAACAGAUGUUUUCCGAGGUGCUAGUUGUCCAUUAGGGCAAUCAAAUGGAAAACAUGCCAUUUGUUAAUGAACGAACCCGACCACGUUGACCGCCAUUUCCAAGGCAGCAUCUCUAGCUUUGUUUUUGAUUUUGAUUUUAUGCUUUGCCUAUCUGCUGGCACACGUUUCUCCAUGUUGUCCACAAUAUUAAUACAUUUUGAUGCACAGUAGCGGAGGUGGUGUGCGUGCGUGUGUGUGCAUGUGUGUGUACAGAGAUCUGUCAGACAGACACAUCCCUUAGCAGCAGUGGGCUGUACACGCCUCACAGAGCACAUCAGCUUAUACCUAGUCUGAAAUUCACUUUUGCUUCUCGUAGAUUAAACUCACACUUCACUUCAUCUCCCAACACCUCGCUUAGCAGGGACAAGAUUGGCUUUUUAUUCUCCCCGCAUGCAAAGUAUGCACAAUGGCAUUUAUCACGGUCUCUGUGAAUGACAGUAAUAUUUGGACAAAUUGAACAGAAUAGGUGGAAUUAAAAGUUUGAAAAAAAAUCCCAGUACACCUGGCAAAAUUUUAAUUAAUGUGAGGAUCAACUGCACUUGAGUUUCGCAGCCAGUGACUAUAUUGCCAGAUGUUAAUAGUAAAUCUGAAAUCCAGAUUAAUGUGUAUAUGGGUUAAGUCACCACUUACUUAUGUUAUUAAUUUAUAUUGAAAAAUAUUGUUUACAUGUGCAUUGUCAGAUGUCAGGUUGUUGAAAGUGUAACUUUUCUAUGAAUGGAACUCUGUCCCAAAUAAACUUCAAAAAAACAGCUUCUAAAAACAGGAUAUUGGCCACUGUUAUCAGUGAUUUUUAACUUUAAAAUUUGAUGGUGACAAAACGUCUUUAUCUCUUCUGCUCUAAUAGGAAUACAAUACACUGGAAUCACUUAAAACAAUUUUUUUUUUAUUACAGAUUUCAUAUGUAUUUUUUAAUUUAAUUAUUUUAUUUAUUUAUUUAAUUUUAUCUUAUUUAUUUCUUGCAGUAAGUUACAUAGUGAAAACCAAAGAAGACAUGUUAAGGUGUAACGGAAUAAUUGACAACAUUUUUAAAUGGAUUUCACUUUUGGGUAAAAGGGUAAAUAACAACUCAAAACUCAAGACUCAGGAGUUUGGAUUAAAACAUUAAUCACGUCAAAUGUCCUGCAUAAAUUACCCAUAAAGUCACUUCCCCUGUUUUUUGCCAUUGAAAAUUAAAGGUUAAAACAAACAAAGAAACAAAUAAGAACCAACCAAAAAAGCUAUGAAAAAAUAAAAAUCCACAACAAGAGUGAAUAGAUAAAUAAAAAUCUGAGAUGCUUAGAGUUUUGUCAUGUGCUGACCUGCACAUCUAUGGACGUCACAGGAGUCAGGCUGGGGCCAAACAGACCAAGCAGUUUGCAACGGUAGCCCUCGGGACUCGUGAGCAGAACAAACCAGCACUGCUCUGAAGUCAGUCUAAAAACACACAGCAGAGCAGAGCGGAACAGAGGCUACACAUGUCCUACCUUUGCGCUCAGAGCGUUUCUUUCUCCUCCUCCUGAACCUGCGGCGGAUCAGGCAGUAGUAGGCUGCUGUGGAAUGGAACCUGUCCGGCAACAAUGCCAUGGCUCAUCCACUCAGCUGGUCUUCACUCUCAGCCUAAUGCAUAGUGUAAACAGCGCCUGUCCAACUUUGGACAAAGGAGGGGAGAAUACCAUGAUGGCAGGCACAGAGCUGCCGGCACAGAGACUUUCUGUGGUGAAUGUCUGUCAGAUCAAUGGACUGGGACGUUUCCUGCUCUCCUCCUCCCUCUCUCUGUCACCGUCUCUCAUCUCUCUCUCUCCGCACCCCACUCUUGAAUUCUCACUCCGGGCUAUGAUGCACCUGGCAAACAAGUGUAUUUGUAAAAUAAAAUACCAAAAGGGGCUUUCAAAAUAUGCAAGUGACACUUGAUGAGACACGCACUUGGAGAAAAAGCGACAGUUUUGUGUUUGUGCUGCAGCUUUAACAUGGUGCUGUCGUUGAUCUAAUGUAAGUCAGAAGCCUUUCAUAAACCUUGGUAAUAUACCAAUUAAUUCAACAGUCAAGUUCAUUUGGCAUAGUGGGAGCGGGGGAAUCUAUCGAACAAAGCACCUCUACCUUUGUACAGUACUAAUGCAGUUCCCUGACUGGGCUGCUGACAUUCAUAGACAAGAGGGAGCUCUCAGAAAUGUACCCAUAUUUGUGGCCUGCUCUCAGAACAUGCCUCACCCUUCCAGUCACUGUAGCUGAAGCAGAGAGGAGCUUUUCAAAGCUGAAACACGGGAAAAGCCUUACUGUUAUCAGUAUUAACAUGCAGUGGCUGAUUUCAUUUGAUGAUGUGAUUGAAACCUUCCUGCCGCGAGGCGACCGAGCUAACCAUCGGACCACCGCGCAGCCUUGUUUCUGCCCAUUCUUAUAAAAAAAACUACAAAUAAAUGUAUAGCCUCUUAUGGAAGUGCGAUUAUAAAUCACUGCAGUACUGCAUGACAGUCAUGUUCAUCAAUCGGUGUAGGAUUUGAAAAUGUCUGACGGGAAACUCCAGUCAAAGAAAAGGUUCAGACGGAAAUGCCAGGCCGAUUUGACCCAGAGGGUUUGUUCUUACAUGGGAAGAAAAUAAUAAUUAGAUCGGAAAAAUGUGAUAUUUAUUUUUUAUAAAAUGUGUAUGUGUUAUCAAAUAGCGAUUGUUUGUAAAAGGAAGGUGGUAUUUAAAUAUAUUUUGAGGACCUAGAAGUGUGGAAGGAAACAGGGCAGUGAUUCUUGGUUUGAAUGUCAGCGCUGCCCCCUUGUGUGCUCUACUGAAAACACAGCUGAGACUUAUAGUGACACACGUGCAUGACCCUUUUUUCAUACUACUAAUAAUUAUUAUUACAAUCAAAUAUCACAUGAUUGCAAGAAACAACAAAUCACAUAUUCACGCUAAAGUGAUGUGAUAACAAUGACUGCAUUCCCUAAAGAUGUUUCACUUCCAGGGUCCUGGCAUUGCUCAUGCUGGUUUACCGGGAUGGCCUACAGGACCUCUAUAUGGAGACUAUGACGAGGCAAAAGGUCUACGAUGAGAAACAUUUAACGGGUCUCUGCAAAAUACGGUAUACCCCUUAUCACCAACUGAAAGUUAUUAAUAUGCAGGAUCCCUUCAAAAUGUCAGUGUCUGCGAGGUACAUUUGCGAUACUUAUUACAUCACCUCUGAAAUAUGACUGACUGACACAUCUGUUCAAACUCCCAGUCGGGUAGAAAGGGUUCGCCCUUUAACUCCGUGAAGCUGAGAUCUGAGCCCAACACACUGAUCAGAUACAUUCCAAUUCAAAGCUUGUUCUCACAAAGUCGUUGAGUAAUUCUGAAUGAAUGCAGGUCGCACUGUUACGGAAUGGGAUCCACUAUCACAAUCAAAAUGUGUCAGCGUGUCAGUUUGACCUGUGGAAACACUGUGCUGCUCUUCCAUUGUGGCAGGGAGAAAGAAAAAGAUCCAAUGCACCAAUUGUUUCGCCUCAUUUAAAGUCAAUUCAGGCUAAAACUGUCUGGCAUGAGUGGACGGACCGCCGGGGGCAGGGGGUGCGGCCGCCCCAGCCUGGGCUGUACCUUUUGACUCUAUUGCAACAAUAUUUGUCCGCUCUCUGCAGGCAGGGUGCCCGGAUUUAAACUUUGGGUGGGAAGAUAAUACUGUUUGGUGUCGUUCGUUCUAAAACAUGUAAAUGCAGACAGAGCAAGUUGUGUUGUUUAUACAAGUGGAACAUGCCGGUAUAUGCAUGACUGUGAAACUUAAACAUAAUAGGUUAUCCAAUCUAUCAUGCUAGAGAGAGAAAGAGAGAGUGCUGGGGUUGCUGGGGUGACAUUGUUAAUAAAAUCACAUAACUUUUAUUUGCUCCUGGUUUCUUUGAUAUUAUCUCACCAUGUCGUCUGGAGACUGUGCUUCUCUUCCAUGACAUAGUCACCAUCUGGUCCACAUACUAUGCUAUUAACAUUUAUAUUAAAGACCUACUAACUUUGAAUAAGCCAUGUGUUUGGCAGAGAAACCCUGGAUUGUACUGGGCUAUGCUAUUCUCUUCUUAUCCAUCAUCUCUUGUCCUUUUAUCUUUUUUCGUCUCCGUGCUCUUAUCUGCGCGGCCACUCUGCUGAAUGAGUCCCCAGAGGGCUGUAGAAUUACACCGGCGCAGAGGUCGUUCGAUUGGCUGUCUCUCACUGUAUCGGAAAAUGUCUGUCUUGAUGGAAGGAGCACUGCAGAGGGGACGCUAGCUGACAGGCCACGAACUGCAAGACCACACAUGCAAAUGAACACACGCUCUUACAGACACUUGCACAUUAACCUUAAGCCAUAAUAAUGAUUAAAGUCGGAGUUUUAAAUAAACAGGUUCAUUAAAAAUACCUCUGUGCCAGUAGCCAGCUAGUAGUCAGCAAGGCUAAGUAGAGCAUGUGGUAUAGGUCAUUCUGGUUUUGAAAAGCUGAUUGUCGGCCUCUCGAGAAUGUUAACUUCAUCGAGGCACAUUUUUCUUAGCAUUUUCUUAGUGACACUGCGACUGCAUCUCCACAACCUGCACCCAACCUGCGUCUUUUACUUGACAAAAAAAUGGUUGCAUGUCAAUUUCUUUGGAGAGCGCAACCUUCUGCGUCUUUUCGACAGUUGCCGUAAUGCUUUUCAACGAUGAUGUUUAACAGCUCACGUGUUUCAUUUAUCCUGGUCUGACGGGAUGAAGGACGUUUGAAUCUACUAUUUUUGUUAUUUUCUGUGUAAGUUAUUUGCUCUCCUGAAAUUUGUUUUGUUUCUCUGAAUUUUCGCACAGGCAAUAAAC